Molecule: ribosomal RNA, 253 nt
Filed under: uncultured bacterium
Lineage: Bacteria
Description: partial 16S ribosomal RNA
Rfam family: Bacterial small subunit ribosomal RNA
Source: RNAcentral
UACGGGGGGGGCAAGCGUUGUUCGGAAUUACUGGGCGUAAAGGGCGCGUAGGCGGCCUGCUAAGUCGGACGUGAAAUCCCUCGGCUCAACCGAGGAACUGCGUCCGAUACUGGUGGGCUUGAAUCCGGGAGAGGGAUGUGGAAUUCCAGGUGUAGCGGUGAAAUGCGCAGAUAUCAGGAGGAACACCGGUGGCGAAGGCGGUUCUCUGGGCCUUACCUGACGCUGAGACACGAAAGCCAGGGGAGCAAACGGG